RNAcentral lists this unclassified non-coding RNA (317 nucleotides) under Hevea brasiliensis (rubber tree). The record is from RNAcentral. Lineage: Eukaryota; Viridiplantae; Streptophyta; Magnoliopsida; Malpighiales; Euphorbiaceae.
CGGAGGGGAUGGCGAAGUACGGGUUUCUUGCUUUGGCGGCUUCUAUUGUUGCUUUUACUGGCCUAUAUGUUCGUUCAAGAUUGACGAUCAAUCCUGAUAAGAUUUACCGAAUUGCAAUGAGGAAACUGAACACCUCAGCUGGAAUUCUCGAAGUCAUGGGUGCCCCCUUAACCGGCACUGAGGUGAGAGCAUAUGUCAUGUCAGGAGGUGGACCCACGUUAAAGAAUUUCAAGUUGAGGGUUGGUGGCAAGCGGUGCUUCCUCAUCUUCCCUAUCCGAGGGUCUGAAAGAAGGGGGCUUGUUAGUGUUGAGGUCAAG